GUGGGCCCGAGUUGGCACGGUCCUCCGGCUGGGAUCACACAGCCGUCCCGGCAUGCCGUGGGCCCAGUCCUCCGGUUGGGAGGUUUCAGCCGUCCCGGCAUGCUGAGGGCCUGUUUUGAAUGGCGAAGGUUCAGGGAAAGGGAGAGAAGACCGGUGCGGCCUGUUAGCGCCUGAAAGGGGAGAGGAGGGGCAAAUUCUAAUCGCUUGCACUCCCACUGAAAUGUUGUAAAAUGUCCUGGAUUGCAAGUGAUUAUGGCAUCUAGACAUAAAAAUGUCAAGCAAGGUGUAUUAUUUGGCGUGGAAGAUGAACUCAUUGAAGGAAGACAACUUGGUAAAAGGGUGCAUCCUAAUUGUAAUGAGACUAUGAGAAAGGUUAGGGUCCUGGAAUGCAAAGAGGUGACUCCUAAAGUUAGAAGAUUAUCUACUGGACAAACAAAGAAAACAUUGCACAGAACAUCCAAAACGACGUGCUGUAAAAAGAAGACUAGACGUAGAGUCCAAAGUAUCGUGGGCAACGGGAAACAGCAUCCAAACCUUUGGAGCUGUGACAUGGCAAAUAAAGAAAAUGAAGUGGUCUGUUCAGGAGCUGUACCUAAAUUAUGCAAUGACAAUCGCAGCUCACAGCUGAACUCCAGUGAUUCGUCUGCUUCACAGACUAGUACUUCUGUUACAUAUGCAGAUUAUUUUGCACAGAUUUCUAAGGAUCAUGCUACAAUGACACAAGUACUAUUUGGUAGAAACUUAAGACUGAACGUAGCUCUGACAUUCUGGCAGAAAAGUGCAAGUGAGCUGGUAGCUUAUCUGGUCAGGAUACAUGACAUUGCUGUUACUGCAGAUUGUCUACCAGUGCUUACGAAAAGUCUGGAGGAAGAGAAACAAAGCAUCUCCGUAGGUUGUUGUGUUGACCUCUUACCACUAGCGCAGGAGUUAUUAAGAAGCAGAUAUGAAGAAUAUCUGAUUGUUGGUUUAAACUGGCUCCGAGCUGUCCUUAAACAAUGGUGGCCAGAGCUAUCUGCAAAUACUGCAAAUAAUGAUGAAACUCAUGUAGCAGAUAGUAAAGGCCUACAUUUUGCAAUCGGGGGCAAAGGAUUCUCUUUCCAAGUAGCCUUGCUGUUAGCUGUCGGCAAGCCUCUGCUGAACUUUUAAGUGGCAUCUUGCAUCUUUUGAAGUCAUUUUUUGCACAUCAACCUCUCUUGUAGACUGGUUUCUGAACUGGGAAAGAAAUGGCAAGACUCUUGAACCUUGAGAGUGUGGGAACCUACCUGGAGCAAUUGUACUAAAUAUCUUCAGCAUCCAGGGAGCUUCAUUUUUCAAGUACUAUCAGCAGUUAAAAGCUGCUUUGCAACAUCAUUUCAACCUCCUUAUUUGUUUAAAAUAUUUGGGAGACCAGCACUGCAGAAAGUGAUCAAAGUAGGCUCAGUACAAAAUUGGUUGCAAAAUAUGUUCUAAAACCACUAUUGAACCCAAUGAAGCUACUUCACAUUGAAGUGGUUUAUUUGCCAAGCGGCAUAUACUCGACUCUGUGAGCUGAUGAUGUGACACUGUUUUGCAUUCCAGAUUCAUGUAGCCUAACUUGACCAGAAGGUCUGUGUUCUUCAAACUGUCUGACUAGUGCCAAUCAUCUGCACUGAAAUGCUGCUUCAGUGCUCUUGGACACUAAGAAUGUAUUUUCUGUAUAUUUGAUUCAAGGUUGUAAAGUUUCAUAUGGCCAUGCAACAAUGAUAAGUUAUAAUUUCAGUAAAGAAAGCACCAUAGUAGAGCAUGCAGCUGUUUACUAAUAUCAGUAAGGUGACAUUAACAAAAUGUGCAUAGCACUGUAUUCUUUUAAUUGAAACAUUAAAGUAGAUAUUUCUUGUGACUUUGCACUUAAAUAAAAAAUGCUAUGUCUCUACAUAGUACUCA
Molecule: RNA transcript, 1902 nt
Organism: Stegostoma tigrinum
Lineage: Eukaryota; Metazoa; Chordata; Chondrichthyes; Orectolobiformes; Stegostomatidae
Gene: katnbl1
Gene name: katanin p80 subunit B-like 1
Exons: 10
Source: RefSeq, a predicted model, not a curated record